AGAAUACUGGAUAACUUUAAAAGGUAUCCUACUUGCGAGACUCCUCUACGCUUUCAGAUACUCCUUUUCCUCAUCUGCAAUCUUGAAGUAAAAACUGCAUUGCAGUUGGAUAUGAAACUAAAAUGGAGAAAUAUUUAGGAAGUGCCCCCGCACAGUGCCUACCUUGUGAAAAUAAUCAAACGAGGUUAUGUGCAUGUGCAUUGGGUGAAAUUGCCUUAAAGAGAAACUGACUUCUCUUUUACAAUUCUUCAAAAUCAGGCCAGCCUGUUUUGAGGCUCCUAGGAUAUCUAUGGAAUUCCAGAGAUGGAGUCUUACUCUGUCGCCCAGGCUGGAGUACAGUGGCGUGAUCUUGGCUCACUGCAACCUCCACCUUCCAGGUUCAAGUGAUUCUCCUUUCUCAGUUUCCUGAGUAGCUGGGACUACAGGCAUGUGCCACCACACCCACUAAUUUUGUGGAUUUUUAGUAGAGAUGAGGUUUCACCACGUUGGCCAGGCUGGUCUUGAACUGACCUCAGGUAAUCCGCCCCCCUCAGCCUCCCAAAGUGCUGGGAUUACAGGCAUGAGCCAUCACGCCCGGCCCUCACUUGUUUUCAUGGACCUAG
This 602-nucleotide long non-coding RNA is filed under the name Homo sapiens (human). Its description in RNAcentral is "HSALNT0122354". Lineage: Eukaryota; Metazoa; Chordata; Mammalia; Primates; Hominidae. The record is from RNAcentral.